This 459-nucleotide ribosomal RNA is filed under the name uncultured bacterium. RNAcentral's name for it is "partial 16S ribosomal RNA". It matches the Rfam family "Bacterial small subunit ribosomal RNA", at positions 338 to 795 of the family's 1533-position model. The record is from RNAcentral.
CCUACGGGAGGCAGCAGUGAGGAAUAUUGGUCAAUGGCCGGGAGGCUGAACCAGCCAAGUCGCGUGAGGGAAGACGGCCCUACGGGUUGUAAACCUCUUUUGUCAGGGAGCAAGGUGCAGGUCGGGACCUGCUGGGAGAGUACCUGAAGAAAAAGCAUCAGCUAAAUCCGUGCCAGCAGCCGCGGUAAUACGGAGGAUACGAGCGUUAUCCGGAUUUAUGGGGUUUAAAGGGUGUGCAGGCGGAGGCACAAGGCAGCGGUAAAAUGGCGGGGCUCAACCCCGCCCCGCCGUUGAAACUGGUUCCCUUGAGUGCGCGAAGGGUAGGCGGGAGGCGUGGUGUAGCGGUGAAAUGCAUAGAUAUCACGCAGAACUCCGAUCGCGAAGGCAGCCUACCGGCGCGCAACUGACGCUCAUGCACGAAAGCGUGGGUAUCGAACAGGAUUAGAUACCCUGGUAGUC